This is a long non-coding RNA of Benincasa hispida (wax gourd), 270 nucleotides long. RefSeq lists it as uncharacterized. Lineage: Eukaryota; Viridiplantae; Streptophyta; Magnoliopsida; Cucurbitales; Cucurbitaceae. The record is from RefSeq and is a predicted model, not a curated record.
CUUCCACUUCCACCAAGGAUCUUGUUGCUGUGUCUUAGUCCUGCUGGGGAGUACAAUCUUUGACUUGGAAUUAUAAAGGAACUGCAUCCUGACAUGGUUGCUACUUAUUCAAGCAGGAGGCUGCAGUAGUAAAAGACAGCAGCCAAAGCAUGAUAUCAGGCAAUGAUUUUAAAUAUUGAUUACACUGAGUUAGAGAACUUCUCCAAGUGGCUUGUUGUCUCUUACUGGUUUCCUUUCUCUUUAACAUUUUCAUAUAAUUAUAUGGAUGUG